AAAUUGAAGAGUUUGAUCAUGGCUCAGAUUGAACGCUGGCGGCAGGCCUAACACAUGCAAGUCGAACGGUAACAGGAAGCAGCUUGCUGCUUUGCUGACGAGUGGCGGACGGGUGAGUAAUGUCUGGGAAACUGCCUGAUGGAGGGGGAUAACUACUGGAAACGGUGGCUAAUACCGCAUAACGUCGCAAGACCAAAGAGGGGGACCUUCGGGCCUCUUGCCAUCAGAUGUGCCCAGAUGGGAUUAGCUUGUUGGUGAGGUAACGGCUCACCAAGGCGACGAUCCCUAGCUGGUCUGAGAGGAUGACCAGCCACACUGGAACUGAGACACGGUCCAGACUCCUACGGGAGGCAGCAGUGGGGAAUAUUGCACAAUGGGCGCAAGCCUGAUGCAGCCAUGCCGCGUGUAUGAAGAAGGCCUUCGGGUUGUAAAGUACUUUCAGCGGGGAGGAAGGUGUUGUGGUUAAUAACCGCAGCAAUUGACGUUACCCGCAGAAGAAGCACCGGCUAACUCC
This 514-nucleotide ribosomal RNA is filed under the name Salmonella enterica. Its description in RNAcentral is "bacterial SSU rRNA". It matches the Rfam family "Bacterial small subunit ribosomal RNA", at positions 1 to 504 of the family's 1533-position model. The record is from RNAcentral. Lineage: Bacteria; Pseudomonadati; Pseudomonadota; Gammaproteobacteria; Enterobacterales; Enterobacteriaceae. RNAcentral also lists the same sequence under 1 other name.